This 648-nucleotide ribosomal RNA is filed under the name fungal endophyte. RNAcentral's name for it is "eukaryotic LSU rRNA". The stretch from base 181 to 334 matches the Rfam family "5.8S ribosomal RNA". Lineage: Eukaryota; Fungi. The record is from RNAcentral.
AUUAAAGAGUUCUAUAACUCCCAAACCCAUGUGAACAUACCUAACGUUGCCUCGGCAGGUCGCACCUACCUUGUAGCACCCUACCCUGUAGGGCCUACCCGGGAGAUGCGGGUAAGCCUGCCGGCGGCCCACCAAACUCUGUUUAAUAUUGAAUUCUGAACAUAUAACUAAAUAAGUUAAAACUUUCAACAACGGAUCUCUUGGUUCUGGCAUCGAUGAAGAACGCAGCGAAAUGCGAUAAGUAAUGUGAAUUGCAGAAUUCAGUGAAUCAUCGAAUCUUUGAACGCAUAUUGCGCCCAUUAGUAUUCUAGUGGGCAGGACCGUUCGAGCGUCAUUUCGACCCUUAAGCCUUAGUUGCUUAGUGUUGGGAGCCUACGGCAACGUAGCUCCUCAAAGUUAGUGGCGGAGUUGGUUCACACUCUAGACGUAGUAAUUUUUUAUCUCGCCUAUUAGUUGGACUGAUCCCCUGCCGUAAAACCCCCAACUUAUCAAGGUUGACCUCGAAUCGGUUCAGACAAACUCGCUAAAUUGAAGCAUCUUAGUCAGCGAAGGAAAAGAAACCAACAGGGAUUGCCCUAGUAACGGCGAGUGAAGCGGCAACAGCUCAAAUUUGAAAUCUGGCCCUCGGGUCCGAGUUGUAAUUUGUAG